CAGCGUGCACGGGGUUCCCAGGGGCACGACAUGCAAUACCGGAAAUCGAACUCAGGUUCUUACGCUUGCCAGGUUUGUAUCAGGAGAUUGUCAGGUCUGCAAUGGAAGCUUGAAGAGUUAUGAUGGACGCUGAACAGUCUACCCCAGGAGGCUGAAAGAACUGCACUGGGAGCCGAAGUCUUCACUGGAAGCCAGGAGAGGAUAUCCACACUGAAGACUAGAGCUCCUCUGAGCCGAUUCGUCCUUCCUCAUUUCUCCUUUGUACCAGCCAAGUGUGUUCCAUGAAGUGGCCAUGAACACUGAAGCGGGGAUACUGAGUCUUUGCUUUGAGAAGAAGGACAGAAUUGGGCUCCUGUAUGACUCUGACCACACCACUGAGUUACAUUUCCAGCCUUUUUUCUCUGUUCUUUGCCCCCCCCCCACCUUUUUGAGAAAAGUUCUUGCUACAUCACUGAAUUGCCUAGGCUGGGUUCCAAUUUGCAGUCUUCCUGCCUCAGCCUCUGAGAAUGCUGGGA
Octodon degus (degu) is the source of this 515-nucleotide long non-coding RNA. RefSeq lists it as uncharacterized. The transcript has 3 exons. The record is from RefSeq and is a predicted model, not a curated record. NCBI's taxonomy places the organism in Eukaryota, Metazoa, Chordata, Mammalia, Rodentia, Octodontidae.